CAUAUAUAAGUUCAAGGACAAAUGUGUCUGCUUUACAUAACAUAAUACCGAUAAAAAGCUUGGGUCGAACAUAAUUAUACCUUCAGCUUCACAUGAUGAGUGGGAAUAUCGCAGACGGAAGCAAUAGACGAGACUCGUACAUGUAGAAUUUUUGCCUGAAUGAAUAGAUGCGCUAUCCAUGCAUUGACUAUGUUUAGACAUCUUUCAGGUUCGUACGUGG
Molecule: non-coding RNA, 220 nt
Organism: Paramuricea clavata
Lineage: Eukaryota; Metazoa; Cnidaria; Anthozoa; Malacalcyonacea; Plexauridae
Source: the annotation of a GenBank genome assembly